RNAcentral lists this ribosomal RNA (320 nucleotides) under uncultured eukaryote. Its description in RNAcentral is "partial 18S ribosomal RNA". It matches the Rfam family "Eukaryotic small subunit ribosomal RNA", at positions 1470 to 1796 of the family's 1831-position model. The record is from RNAcentral.
CCCCUAGAUGUUCUGGGCCGCACGCGCACUACACUGAACAGUUCAACAAGUCUUAACCUUGGCCGAUAGGUCUGGGUAAUCUUUGAACGCUGUUCGUGAUUGGGAUAGACCUUUGCAAUUAUGGGUCUUCAACGAGGAAUUCCUAGUAAACGCAAGUCAUCAGCUUGCAUUGAUUACGUCCCUGCCCUUUGUACACACCGCCCGUCGCACCUACCGAUUGAAUGGUCCGGUGAAAUCUCGGGACGGCGGCUUGGUCGCUUGCGUCCGACUGCUGAAACUUGAUUAAACCAUAUCAUUUAGAGGAAGGUGAAGUCGUAACA